AAAUAAUUCAAGUAUAUAUUACCUUACAUUCAAAAUAACUUACCUAAUUGGUCUUCACUUUUAAAGUGGCAAAGUUUGGCCUUGAUUUUGAGUGCAAUUAUUAAACGCGCAGAGCACAACCCAGACUGGCGUUUGAUAACGAAGUACGAGUCGAAUAAACCAGAAACUAUCAAAAGAUGAUAUUACAUUUGUAAGCUCGUGUUACGAUUUUUGCGCAAUUUCAUUGGCCAAGCGCAUUGUAUUUCGAACGCUGAUCAAACGCGAUAUAUUAAAUACGACGAUUUCAAUGAAGU
Molecule: non-coding RNA, 293 nt
Organism: Paramuricea clavata
Lineage: Eukaryota; Metazoa; Cnidaria; Anthozoa; Malacalcyonacea; Plexauridae
Source: the annotation of a GenBank genome assembly